GACUUUUCACAAUAUUCUUUAUUGCCCACAGACUCACAUUGACAGUCAUGUAACAUCAGACUACUUAGAGAACAGUUUCUCUCCCCCUUGACCCACAGUUAUUCUGCACUGGUAAGGAGCCUUUCACAGAAAUGUAACAAGGUGUACAGUAUAGAAAACUUCUAAUUAAAUUACCAAGUCCAUGCUUUUAAAUGGUAUCUACGAGUGCAAAACCUCAACACCCAAAUGUUUUUAGUAUCUAAUUCAAAUAUCAAAGGGUUUGCUACAUACUCAGAAAUGCACACACCACUAUUCUGAAAAUGAAGGCACAUUUUCCGAUAACCAGUGAUAAGGAGAAGUGCAGCAUUGCCUAAGUGAGCGUGACAACCCUGCUCCUGGGCCACUGUGAUGGCGCAUAGGACGCCAUCCAAUGUGUGGCGCCCCCAGCUGGCUGCCCUAGAAGCACAGGGAUGUGCCUGGUGGGACACCAGGGCUCACGAUUGGAAACCACAUCAUUUACUGAAGAGUGAAGUGGAUUCAUCGACGGCGAGGAGGGAACUUAAGCCAAUUCUCUUUACCCCUUGUGUUGGCAACGCUCCCAAAUGUUGGCCACACAAUUUAGGUUUUAUUAUUUUUCCUGUGACAGAGAUUAGAAAACUUGACAUUGGUUUUGUAUUUCCACUCCUCCAGAAAGUCCAAAUGCCAGUUCUGUUCCUGCAUCAACAUGGAAAGUAGUUAAUUGGUAAUAAACCCAGACAGAGACUUUUACAUUCUUUUUUGUUUCACAAAAGUUAGUGGAAAACAAAACAGAACAAAAUUUUUCAAAUAUUUAUCAAUAUGUAUAAUUUGCCAUCCAAAUGCUUUUUAGAAAGUUGUAUCUCAUUAUUACACAUCAAAUUUACACGGAGUUCUCUCCUAAUCCUUGAAUUUAAACAUCAAAUUUUCAUUCUUAUUUAAUUCUGGAUACAAAGAAACAUUCAUGUACUUCAUUUUACAAUAUUUAUUCUGGAACAAGUGAUACUCAAAAGUCAAAAGAACAGAGAACAUUCCACUUGCAACCAACACAUAGUUGUUACCAAAAAAGUUAAUUCAGUGUUCAAAAAUGGAUGUGCCCGUGGAUUUCUGCUUUAACUGUCGCUUGAGUCAUUGGAUAGAAACUUUGGUUGUGAUAAAUAUUUCCCAGACGUGUAUGAAUUCGUCACCUCAAACACCCAAUGCCACGACAUGUUUCCCCCGUGUGCCUAUUUUUCUGUCUACAACAUUUCAAAGUGAAACAGCAAAGGAGAAACUUGUAUGAGAUUUCACCUCCAGAGCUUUCUCAACGAGAAUGGCUCUUCCACCUCUCAGGAGGGAGCCACGUGUCUGGGCCUAAGGGAGUCAUUGUUGUGGGCAUCUGCCGAUGCUGGAAGGAGGUGAGAAUGAGAAGGGACCCGCCUCAGCUCCGCCUCCAGCAUCCUCCCUAACGCCAAUCACUGUUCAGGCACAUGCGCACGAGGGAGGCCCCGCCCUCUCCUGGGCGGUCCAUGCCUUGCCUGCUUGUCCUCACCCUCCCCAUGCCAACUGCCCCCCGGUUUGCAAAACCUUCAGAUUCCCUUAGACCCACCCAGGAGCUCUGCCCUCCAGGGUCCUAUUGAAUUUGGUCCUACCAGCCAUCAGACUUGUCACCUUCCACACCGUGUGUGUGUGUCUGUGUUCAUUUCCUAUUGGGUUAUAACCUUGGGCAGGCAGAACAUUUGCACACGCACAGGAGCCCUGCACAGUGCCUGCCUCACGUGAACUAACCUAAGACGAGGCCAAGAGAAGGCUGGGCAGAAAAGCCAACAAGCCAUGUGGAAGACAACACUGGGCCCCCAGCACACCUGCAGCGGCAUCCGCCCCCCGCCCCCAUACCUGCCCUGCUUCUUUAUACAUUGCUGGAUACACACAGGACGUAGGUCCAGACUUGCUGCCCCCAUCCCCACUCCCGCUUCUUCUUCCUUUUUCCACCCCUGUCUUCCCAAACUCUCCUUUCCUGUCUUCCCCCACUAGCUUCUGUUCCCUUGUGUCCCUUUGUCACUUCCCACAGUGGCUCCCCUCGUGUCUUGUUCCUGCAGCAUCCAGGACCCUCCUCCCUGUGUCUGAGGAUGGCAGGACAUGUCAGUCUCCAAACUCUCAGCAUUAAUAACUUUCUAGUUAUCCUUGUUAGUUAAAAAACUAAAAUCCAGGGAGGAAUCCUGGGGUGCAAAUCGCCCAGGCAACCCACCUGUGCACACACGGACAGAGAUGCGCAGCUGUUGUAAUCAGCAUAGGUAUAUGCAUGUGUAUAUACGUAUAUACAUACAGAGACGCACAGCCAUCGUAGUCAGUAGGUAUAUGUGUGUGUGAGUGUGUAUAUACAUGUGCGGUUGAUAUUCACAAGUCCUGGUAUAAAGUUGCAAUUUUUCUGGCUGCUAUAAAAUGUGCCAGUUUCAAAACUGUGUGUUUGUUUCUUGCAAACUUAUAAAUAUGUAUAAACCCCAUUAUAAAUAAAUUGUGGCUGGCAGAUGGCAUUUUAUCUGCCAGCAAUGAUUGCAUGGAGUUAUAAAUGCUUAUUAAUCCUCCCCUUUUAAACCCACAGCACAGACCCCAGGAUCUACGACAUGAAGUGGCAUGAAAACAUCAUCAUAAGUUAGAGAAGGAAAGCCCUCAAGGAGAGAGAUGGGUGAGAGCUAACAAUUCACACCUGAUGAUGGUUCUCAAGGGCUAGAUGCUCCUACCAGCAUCACCUGAAAUGUAUUAGAAAUGCAAAUUGUCUGGCCCCAUCCAGACCUCUUGAGUCUGGAACUCUAGGGAGGGCCCCCAAUGGCUCUGAUGCCUGCCUUUCACCCCAAGUCUGCUCAGGAAGGUCUGUCUCUCUGCCUGAGAACUUCCUGGCUUGGUAUGCAUAGGGCCAUCUGGGACACUGUGGCUGGAACCAGCCUUCCACCAGUGCUGGGCUGGGUGGAUAAAUGUCCAGCUCUCAACUGGCACCAGUGGGUUAGCUCUUGAGGCGUGUCCAGCCCUGCCUCCCCUGGUGACCUACCUGAUCAGACCUUCCUCGUCAGCUUCCUUCCCUUCCCCACCCCUGGGUCAUACCCAGAAGAUCCAGAUGCACUCAGAGUGCCUCUCAGGGUCUGCUUCUGAGGGACCUCAAACUAAACAAAGGCAUAGAAACAUUUCCUUGUCCAUGUAAACGACUCACACCUUUAUGCAUUUGGGAAAAAAUACGGAACAUAUAUGUAAACUCAAAGAGGGAAGUCUUACCUGCCAUUUCCCAUCAGGGGCUGAGCUUUAUGUACAAGCCCGAAAGGACCCUAAUAAGUCCGGCACUCUAUCCUGGAUUCAGCCAGUGACAGUCGCAACCCUCAGGCAAGUCAAUUGGCUCUAGUUUCCUCAUCGAAAAAGGGGUCCCUCCAGCUGUAGGAUCCCAAGACGCCCCCUUACUGCUGUCCUCUGGGGAGCAGGGUCAGCUCCAGGUUUACAGCAUGUGCCCCUAAAGUAGUUUUUCCGCUUCUUUCUCAGGACCAACUUAAACUUUCACUGCAGAGCCUGAGAGGACUAUUAUUAUUUUUGUGUGUGUCUUUUUGUCUUUUUAGAGCCGAACCCGCAGCAUAUUGAGCUUCCCAGGCUAGGGGUCUAAUCAGAGCUGUUGCUGCCAGCCUACGCCAGAGCCACAGAAACGCCAGAUCUGAGCCGCAUCUAUGACCUACACCACAGCUCACAGCAACACCAGAUCCUUAACCCACUGAGCAAGGCCAGGGAUCGAACCCUCAAUCUCAUGGUUCCUAGUCGGAUUCAUUUCCACUGCACCAUGAAGGGAACUCCUGAAAGUAUUAUUCUGACACCCAAGGCCAAGAUUUGUCUGUGUCCUGCAGUUACGUCUUUGCAAUCUUUCCACAAUCUCCUUCUCAUUUCCAACCAGGCUGUCACCAUUCACGGAAAGACAUUUAUGGAUGGUCCCCUAUGCGCUCAGCCAACGAGAGAGCAUAGACACUUUUGUGAGUGAAGCAGCCAGGAAACUCCUGUCCCUGGUGCUUAACCAUAGUCACAACCCGCCCCCGCCCAACGCCCUCUCAGGAAGGGAGUGCCCAGUCCUGCGGUGCAGGGGGUGAGCCAGGGCUCAGAGAAACCCGGCAACUAGCUUGAGACCACGUGGCUCUGUGCAUGUGGAAGCCCAGGUGAGCUGCCCCCGGGGAGCCUGGCAGCCAAGGAAACGUGGGACUGGCCUUCACAAGGUGACCCAUUCAGGGAAAUAAAGACCCAGACAUUCGUUUAAAGUGUUGCUUAUAUAAAGGAGCCACCCAGCAUCUGAUGCCACCUGAAAGGGGAGCUCCAUUGCAGGAAGGGGGCAUCUUCAAGAUGCCAGGCUGGACCAGGAGACAUGAGUCGAUGCUGUCCCCGAGCACGGGACCCUUUUGGGGUUCAUACGAAGUGCUAACUCCAUCUACCCCUCCCCCAGGCCUGCCUUCCCUUCAAGCAGGCCUUUCCCUUUGCACAUGGCUUGUCACUUUCUGUCCUCAUUGGAAAUGAUUGGUGCCACCCUCUGCCUUCGGGACACCCCCAGCUGGGCCUCUGUCCAUGGACCCCAACAGCCCAGAUGGCCUGAAACAGAAGUGUUGCUCAAGUGAAACACAGGUUAAAGCCAGGCAGGCUCCUGAUCCUCCGGCUUCUCAAAUAUAAAAGGCCUGGAAGUGGUAGCUUAAGCAUAGGAUCUAGAUGGAAGUUAUGCGAAUGCACGUCUGGCUUCUACUCUGAACUGUCAGGCAGGGUCUCCUCAGUAGUCAGGCAUCAAAACUGACUGAAACCAGUGAGGAGCACCCCUCAGGAAGCCCCGCAGGCUCUCAGUGGACAAGAAUGUCCUUGGAAAGCGCAGCUAAUUCCCACAGGACGGUGUGGGUGGGAAGGGACACUGAGGGGAGGGGUGUCUCAAGGGCCGCUUAGCAAGAAGGGCCAUUUUAGGACGGCUGGACCCCCCUUGAUCUCCCAGCAGACACAGAGACCUGGGUCAAAGUGGCAAAGGGCCCAUGAGAGGAGCAGCAGGUCCUGGCAUCCUCGCGGGCUCAUGCUGGCCCGGUGCUCAGUGACCUCGCCCUGGGAGUCGGAGGCUUGGAGUGCACAGCAGCCUGGGUCUGCGUGGAGUUUGCCUCUGGGUCCUGAACUCCCGUGCAGCAGAGCUCAGGAAGCACUGAGUGAGCGGCACAUCUCUGCUGCCCGCCACCUGCGUGGCCUUGAGCAAGGUGGGCACCACCUGAGCCUCAGUUUCCCCAUCUAUAAGUGAGGUUCCAAGAUGCCCAGCGCACGGUGCUUGAAGAAGAGAUGGGAUGACCCAGGUGAGCUCUUACAUGCUUUACAAAUGGGAGAAAACAAAGACUAGGAAAUCACGGCCAUCUGCUCAGUUCUCAAAUCUGCUCCAAGGGCUACAAAGCAGUGCCAGUUCACCCCACUAGUGCUGUUCUGUGGGAGGCGACUUUGUCAUCGGAGCUUCAAAAUACUAUUUUGAAUUAAUAUUGAAACAGAAUUCGAUCCCCAUUCCUUUUAAUGUUAUAAAUUGAUUCUCAU
This 5535-nucleotide long non-coding RNA is filed under the name Sus scrofa (pig). RNAcentral's name for it is "lncRNA (ENSSSCG00000057206.1)". The record is from RNAcentral. Lineage: Eukaryota; Metazoa; Chordata; Mammalia; Artiodactyla; Suidae.